CGCGUCUGUCCCGCGGAAUGCGAGGAGCGCGGGGGACGGGGGGCGCUUAAUCGUGGAAGGAAGCGAGGCGGGAGAGGCGCUGAGCCGCAGUCACCGCCAUCUCACCGGUGCCUGAGUGUUUCGAUACGUGUCAGUUCAGUGAGUGGGAAAACGCCGGUCUUGGUCAGCGUCUUCAUCAAUGACCUGGAAUAAGGGGAAAAUUAGUGGCAAGCCAGCAUCUCGGCCAGCACUCGCCAGCCUUCUCUUUACAUGCCUGUACCCUUCAUCCAGACAGACAUCCUGAAAGCGUCUUCAGGAUAUCUUUUCAGUGGAGCUCUGUGAAUUCAGACUGCUCUUCCAAGCAGGCUUUCAGAGCGCAUCUCCACCUCCAGAAAAAGCCACCUUGAAUCUCUUGACUCUUCCUUUGUCAGAUCACUUUGGAUUUCCCAGUUCACAGAAGAGACA
Molecule: long non-coding RNA, 444 nt
Organism: Gallus gallus (chicken)
Lineage: Eukaryota; Metazoa; Chordata; Aves; Galliformes; Phasianidae
Source: Ensembl